AAAAGAAAUUAGCCGAAUGCCAUUAGGCAGCGGGGGAUUUAUUUUGGGGUGAAUCUAGAUAGUUUGUUUACUUGAUUUUCAAAUUGCUAUCUAGUAGGGACGCUCUCUUCCCGAACCCGACAACUAACCUCGUAGGCGUUAGAGAGGUGGAAC
Molecule: small RNA, 153 nt
Filed under: Caloramator mitchellensis
Lineage: Bacteria; Bacillati; Bacillota; Clostridia; Eubacteriales; Clostridiaceae
Description: c-di-AMP sequence
Rfam family: c-di-AMP riboswitch aptamer (ydaO/yuaA leader)
About the family: This family represents a conserved RNA structure found upstream of the ydaO and yuaA genes in Bacillus subtilis and related genes in other bacteria.
Source: Rfam by way of RNAcentral